This 478-nucleotide ribosomal RNA is filed under the name uncultured bacterium. Its description in RNAcentral is "partial 16S ribosomal RNA". It matches the Rfam family "Bacterial small subunit ribosomal RNA", at positions 28 to 507 of the family's 1533-position model. The record is from RNAcentral.
GAUGAACGCUGGCGGCGUGCUUAACACAUGCAAGUCGAACGGGAAACCUUUUAUUGAAGCUUCGGCAGAUUUAGCUGGUUUCUAGUGGCGGACGGGUGAGUAACGCGUGGGUAACCUGCCCUAUACAGGGGGAUAACAACCAGAAAUGGUUGCUAAUACCGCAUAAGCGCACAGGGCCGCAUGGUCCGGUGUGAAAAACUCCGGUGGUAUAGGAUGGACCCGCGUUGGAUUAGCCAGUUGGCAGGGUAACGGCCUACCAAAGCGACGAUCCAUAGCCGGCCUGAGAGGGUGAAUGGCCACAUUGGGACUGAGACACGGCCCAGACUCCUACGGGAGGCAGCAGUGGGGAAUAUUGCACAAUGGGGGAAACCCUGAUGCAGCGACGCCGCGUGAAGGAAGAAGUAUCUCGGUAUGUAAACUUCUAUCAGCAGGGAAGAUAGUGACGGUACCUGACUAAGAAGCCCCGGCUAACUACGUG